UACGAAGGGGGCUAGCGUUGCUCGAAAUCACUGGGCGUAAAGGGUGCGUAGGCGGGUCUUUAAGUCAGGGGUGAAAUCCUGGAGCUCAACUCCAGAACUGCCUUUGAUACUGAAGAUCUUGAGUUCGGGAGAGGUGAGUGGAACUGCGAGUGUAGAGGUGAAAUUCGUAGAUAUUCGCAAGAACACCAGUGGCGAAGGCGGCUCACUGGCCCGAUACUGACGCUGAGGCACGAAAGCAUGGGGAGCGAACAGG
Molecule: ribosomal RNA, 253 nt
Filed under: uncultured bacterium
Lineage: Bacteria
Description: partial 16S ribosomal RNA
Rfam family: Bacterial small subunit ribosomal RNA
Source: RNAcentral